CAGGAUGAACGCUAGCUACAGGCUUAACACAUGCAAGUCGAGGGCAGCAUCAUCAAAGCUUGCUUUGAUGGAUGGCGACCGGCGCACGGGUGAGUAACACGUAUCCAACCUGCCGACAACACUGGGAUAGCCUUUCGAAAGAAAGAUUAAUACCGGAUGGCAUAGUUUUCCCGCAUGGGAUAAUUAUUAAAGAAUUUCGGUUGUCGAUGGGGAUGCGUUCCAUUAGGCAGUUGGCGGGGUAACGGCCCACCAAACCUACGAUGGAUAGGGGGUUCUGAGAGGAAGGUCCCCCACAUUGGAACUGAGACACGGUCCAAACUCCUACGGGAGGCAGCAGUGAGGAAUAUUGGUCAAUGGGCGAGAGCCUGAACCAGCCAAGUAGCGUGAAGGAUGACUGCCCUAUGGGUUGUAAACUUCUUUUAUAAAGGAAUAAAGUCGGGUAUGGAUACCCGUUUGCAUGUACUUUAUGAAUAAGGAUCGGCUAACUCCGUG
Molecule: ribosomal RNA, 492 nt
Filed under: uncultured bacterium
Lineage: Bacteria
Description: bacterial SSU rRNA
Rfam family: Bacterial small subunit ribosomal RNA
Source: RNAcentral